UACAGAGGGGGCAAGCGUUAUUCGGAAUUAUUGGGCGUAAAGGGCGCGUAGGCGGCUUUGCAAGUGACGGGUGAAAUCCCUCGGCUUAACCGAGGAACUUCCUGUCAAACUGCAUGGCUUGAGACCGGGAGAGGUGAGUGGAAUUCCCAGUGUAGCGGUGAAAUGCGUAGAUAUCGGGAGGAACACCUGUGGCGAAAGCGGCGCACUGGACCACAACUGACGCUGAGGCGCGAAAGCUAGGGGAGCAAACAGG
Molecule: ribosomal RNA, 253 nt
Filed under: uncultured bacterium
Lineage: Bacteria
Description: partial 16S ribosomal RNA
Rfam family: Bacterial small subunit ribosomal RNA
Source: RNAcentral